GGUGUGGUGGCAAGUGGUAAGGUGUAGUCUCGUAAACCAAAGAUCAUGGUUUGAUCCCCAUCCAUGCCU
Molecule: non-coding RNA, 69 nt
Organism: Caranx melampygus (bluefin trevally)
Lineage: Eukaryota; Metazoa; Chordata; Actinopteri; Carangiformes; Carangidae
Source: the annotation of a GenBank genome assembly